This 650-nucleotide ribosomal RNA is filed under the name uncultured bacterium. RNAcentral describes it as "bacterial SSU rRNA". It matches the Rfam family "Bacterial small subunit ribosomal RNA", at positions 202 to 842 of the family's 1533-position model. The record is from RNAcentral.
AAAAGUUGGGGAGACCUGACGCUGAAAGAUGGACUCGCGUCCCAUUAGCUAGUUGGUAGGGUAAUGGCCUACCAAGGCGACGAUGGGUAGCCGGCCUGAGAGGGUGGCCGGCCACACUGGGACUGAGACACGGCCCAGACUCCUACGGGAGGCAGCAGUGGGGAAUUUUGCGCAAUGCUCGUAAGAGUGACGCAGCGACGCCGCGUGAAUGACGAAGGCCUUCGGGUCGUAAAGUUCUUUCGACAGGGAAGAAAAUGCCUAUAAGUAACUGUGUAUGUAUUGACGGUACCUGUAUAAGCAGCCCCGGCUAACUCCGUGCCAGCAGCCGCGGUAAUACGGAGGGGGCGAGCGUUGUUCGGAGUGACUGGGCGUAAAGAGCACGUAGGCGGUGUUGUAAGUCAUUAGUCAGAGACUAGAGCUCAACUUUAGUAAGGCUAGUGAUACUAUAAUACUAGAGUAUCAGAGAGGAUUGCAGAAUUCCUGGUGUAGCGGUGAAAUGCGUAGAUAUCAGGAGGAAUACCGUUAGCGAAGGCGGCAAUCUGGCUGGAAACUGACGCUGAGGUGCGAAAGCGUGGGUAGCAAACAGGAUUAGAUACCCUGGUAGUCCACGCUGUAAACGAUGGAUGCUAGGUGUUGGGCUUUUAAGUUCA